RNAcentral lists this transfer RNA (77 nucleotides) under Urosaurus nigricauda. RNAcentral describes it as "tRNA-Trp". It matches the Rfam family "tRNA". Rfam says of the family: Transfer RNA (tRNA) molecules are approximately 80 nucleotides in length. The record is from RNAcentral. Lineage: Eukaryota; Metazoa; Chordata; Lepidosauria; Squamata; Phrynosomatidae.
AGAAACUUAGGAUAAAACUAAACCAAGAGCCUUCAAAGCCCUAAACAGGGGUUAUACCCCCCUAGUUUCUGCCACCC